Molecule: ribosomal RNA, 440 nt
Filed under: uncultured bacterium
Lineage: Bacteria
Description: partial 16S ribosomal RNA
Rfam family: Bacterial small subunit ribosomal RNA
Source: RNAcentral
CCUACGGGAGGCAGCAGUGGGGGAUAUUGCACAAUGGGGGCAACCCUGAUGCAGCGACGCCGCGUGAGCGAUGGAGUACUUCGGUAUGUAAAGCUCUAUCAGCAGGGAAGAAAAUGACGGUACCUGACCAAGAAGCCCCGGCUAACUACGUGCCAGCAGCCGCGGUAAUACGUAGGGGGCAAGCGUUAUCCGGAUUUACUGGGUGUAAAGGGAGCGUAGACGGAAGCGCAAGUCUGGAGUGAAAUGCCGGGGCCCAACCCCGGAACUGCUUUGGAAACUGUGCAGCUGGAGUGCAGGAGAGGUAAGCGGAAUUCCUAGUGUAGCGGUGAAAUGCGUAGAUAUUAGGAGGAACACCAGUGGCGAAGGCGGCUUACUGGACUGUAACUGACGUUGAGGCUCGAAAGCGUGGGGAGCAAACAGGAUUAGAUACCCCAGUAGUG